UACAACACUAUUAUGAUUGAUUUUGCUAUCUUCUAGAAUAAUCUUACUCAAAAUCAAGACAAACAAAUCAGGAAAAUCUCAGAAUUGAAAGAGACAAUUGAACUUGAAAAAAGGCAAAAAUGCAUAUUGCUGAUUCAUUUCGUGUUACUAUUGAAGAAAAGGAUGAUCUUAUAGAAGUUUUAAAAACUCAGGUACAGUUGGUUAAGGAUGUAGCUACAUACGUACGCAUAUUGUGAAAAAGUUAUUUAGUUUUAACAAACAUCGACAUUCUUAUUUCUUUA
Molecule: long non-coding RNA, 281 nt
Organism: Xenia sp. Carnegie-2017
Lineage: Eukaryota; Metazoa; Cnidaria; Anthozoa; Malacalcyonacea; Xeniidae
Exons: 2
Source: RefSeq, a predicted model, not a curated record